CUACGGGCUGCUGCAGUGAGGAAUAUUGCACAAUGGGGGGAACCCUGAUGCAGCAACGCCGCGUGGAGGAUGACGCACUUCGGUGUGUAAACUCCUUUUAUAUGUCAAGAAAAUGACGGUAGCAUAUGAAUAAGCACCGGCUAACUCCGUGCCAGCAGCCGCGGUAAUACGGAGGGUGCAAGCGUUACUCGGAAUCACUGGGCGUAAAGGACGCGUAGGCGGGUUGGAAAGUCAGGUGUGAAAUCCUACAGCUUAACUGUAGAACUGCACUUGAAACUUCUAAUCUAGAGUAUGGGAGGGGGAGAUGGAAUUAGUGGUGUAGGGGUAAAAUCCGUAGAUAUCACUAGGAAUACCUAAAGCGAAGGCAAUCUCCUGGAACAUUACUGACGCUAAGGCGUGAAAGCGUGGGGAGCAAACAGGAUUAGAUACCCGGGUAGUC
This 439-nucleotide ribosomal RNA is filed under the name uncultured bacterium. Its description in RNAcentral is "partial 16S ribosomal RNA". It matches the Rfam family "Bacterial small subunit ribosomal RNA", at positions 339 to 795 of the family's 1533-position model. The record is from RNAcentral.